CUACAUAAAUACCCUCAGACAUUAAUGGUGACUUCUUUAGAAAUGUUUUUUUUCUAACCGAUUGUGAUCAUUUGAAAAGCCUGUCUGACAAUAUUCAAAUGAGUCCAGAUUUUGGUCAUUUAAAAAUCAUUAUAUGACAGAUUUAUAUAUAGUGCAUGUUAUUACAUUUACAAGAACCUCUAAUGGAAUCACUAUAAGUUGGGCCAAUAAACCGAAUUGUUAGCUGCAGUGGAAUUACAGUAUGAUAUGCGAUUAUUGAUCAUGAGGCACACAAUUCAUACACAUAAGGGAAAAUAAGCAUAUGUAUAAGAUUGUUAAACAGGUUCAAUUACACAUAACCCAUCAUUGUACAGAGACAUAAUAGUGAGACAUGUAUCAAUAUAUGUAAUAUCUGGAAGUAGCCAACAGUAAUAAGUAUGUGCAUAGGGCUCAAUUUCAGUUAAUUUGG
Non-coding RNA from Pelobates cultripes (western spadefoot toad), 448 nucleotides. NCBI's taxonomy places the organism in Eukaryota, Metazoa, Chordata, Amphibia, Anura, Pelobatidae. The record is from the annotation of a GenBank genome assembly.